RNAcentral lists this ribosomal RNA (443 nucleotides) under uncultured prokaryote. RNAcentral describes it as "bacterial SSU rRNA". It matches the Rfam family "Bacterial small subunit ribosomal RNA", at positions 355 to 796 of the family's 1533-position model. The record is from RNAcentral.
UAGGGAAUAUUGGUCAAUGGGCGGAAGCCUGAACCAGCCAUGCCGCGUGCAGGAAGACGGCCUUCUGGGUUGUAAACUGCUUUUACCAGGGAACAAAUAGGCCAUGCGUGGCAAGUUGAGUGUACCUGGGGAAUAAGCACCGGCUAACACCGUGCCAGCAGCCGCGGUAAUACGGAGGGCGCAAGCGUUGUCCGGAUUUAUUGGGUUUAAAGGGUGCGUAGGCGGUUAUUUAAGUCAGUGGUGAAAACCCUGAGCUCAACUGAGGGCUUGCCAUUGAUACUGGAUAACUUGAUUACCGUACAGGUAGGCGGAAUUUAUGGUGUAGCGGUGAAAUGCAUAGAUACCAUAAAGAACACCGAUAGCGAAGGCAGCUUACUGGAGGGUUAAUGACGCUGAUGCACGAAAGCGUGGGUAGCGAACGGGAUUAGAUACCCCUGUAGUCC